This is a long non-coding RNA of Sinocyclocheilus grahami, 372 nucleotides long. Lineage: Eukaryota; Metazoa; Chordata; Actinopteri; Cypriniformes; Cyprinidae. The record is from Ensembl.
CUUUGUUCGCUGCUGGCUCUGCUUUGACUCCAUCUGCAAAUGGAAAGGUUUAAAAUCUUCCUUUGGACAGUGGCAGUGAGUCUACAAGUAACAUCUCAAGACAGCACUGGUGAACCUCCUAUUCAGAUUUCCAAGCCAAAUAUAAUUCUGAAUGCAUCUCAUGCUGUGCUGUACAGCACAGAGACAGUCACUCUGCACUGUGAGGUCCCUGAUGAACCACCAGGGUUACAAUAUGACUGGUACAAGGACUCAGCUGAUCUUAGUGAACAUCAGCCCAACAUCACUCCGAGAGGCAGUGGAAAAUAUGAAUGCAAAGCAAAAAAAGGAGCUUCUGAGUCAGAAAAAAGUACUAGUUAUACUUUAACUCUAAAA